AUUUCGAGCAUGACUUCAUUGGCGUCAGCAACGUUUUGCUGUUCGGGUUUAGCCGCCAUGUUUAAGUUGGCCGGGUUUCGCACCACUGAGGUCAUGGAUACUCAGGCCUCUUUGCGUGUUUCUUCAACACUGCUUCUAAGGUUAACCGCGUUACAUUUGUUGGAGAAAAUCCUGGGAACGCUGAAAAGGACUAGUGGGUGGGGUGCGAGGGUGGGGUCUUGCCCGAAUUAAAGAUGGCCGCAGUCAGCUCUGCCCCGCGCAAUUUCACGUCAAGUUUUGGAGCUGCGGGAGCCGGCCAGUUGGCCUCAGCGCCUCCUUACGGAAUUGGCGUAAGGCAAAGAGGCGCGGCUGGAAGAACCAGACUGAGAAAGUGCCACAGGGCGGGGGCCGCAUCCGCCCCUCGGCUUCUGGUUACUGACCCGACGGCUUUGUGAGUGAAAGUGAAGAGACACUUCGAGGCAGGUGUCUGUGCUCCCCAUUCAUCCCUGUUUCCGUGGCUAUCUUGACUUUCGGGGUGAAAAGUGAGGUUAGGCCCUGUUUCCCCGACCCUUCCCUCGCGCCAUCACACUCUAGUGGCCUGGCACAGCCCCAGAGGUCGGCCGCUGUAGCCCCCAUUGCGGACUCGCCACAUUCAUAUUGGCUCACCUUGUCGGUGCCCGGUUCGGUCCUCUUGGAGCUCACACUCCAGUUGAGGAAAUGAAUGGACACAGGAACUACUGGGUAACAAAAUACUAAUAAAGGGCUGCGAUUGUGUGAGUUUCUACUGUAGCGAUGAAUGUCGCUGUCAUUGGAACGUUCCCCAAGUGCCUUCUAGUGAAAGCCUUACUUCACUCGGAAUAACCUGUGGUCUUUUCUUGAACGUGAUGGCUCUCUUGGUUGUAUUCUUCAUGCACAUGUGUUACUUUUCCUGUUUAACUACAUGUUAAAGAAAUGUGUAUGUUCCUGUUUAACUGCAUGUUUUAAAAAAGUAUGUGUAUUUUUAAGUUAUAGGCACGUGCAAGAAAGUUCAGAGCAAAAUAGCUUAUAUUAGUGAAACAAUAAAUGUCUACUAAUAGGAGAAUGGAUGAAUAAGUGUCAUUGUUGAACAAAUUGACAUACAACACGAACCAAAAAAUCAGUGAACUAAAGCUACCAUUUUUCAUAUGGAUAGAGUCAUUAACCUAAUAUUGAGGAAGAAAUGAAAAGACAGGUUGCGGAAAGAUAUAUAUGACAUACCAUAAAUAAAAGUUUAAUAAUUACAAAAAAGUAAGAUCAAACUAAAAAUUGUAUAAGGAAAUGAUAGAUACCAAAUUCAGAAUACUGGUUGCUUCCAGAGAUGAACAGAAGGGAAUGUAACAAGAAGGGUUCAUUUGUAUCUAUAACGUUUGUUUUCUACCAGAAAUAUCUUGAAAAUGUGGCAAAACAUUAAGCUAAGUAGAGGGCACAUGGGUGUUCACUUGUAAUUAUUUCCUUUACUGUUCUAUAUACUUGAAAUAUUUCCAAGUAAUUUUUUUUAAGAAAAGAAACUUAUAGAAGCAACUUAUUUUGUAUCUUGAUAUAUGCCAUUUCGUAAGUCUACAUUUUUACUGAACUGCUUAUGAAGUCUGUUGCAACUUAUCUGUUCAAUCAUUGUUUUAAGUUUCUGAAACUUCAAAUGAACUUUUACUUUGGGAAAUUUUGUUGAAUUUCUAUUUUUGAAAAAAAGCAGUGUACCAAGGAGGGUAAAUGUAUAUAGCCUCCGGAGUCAGACUGCCUGAGUUCAAAUCCCAGCUCUCCAUUUAUUAGGCUUGCAACCAAGAACAAGUUACUUAAACUUUCCUGUGAUCCAGUUUCCUCAUCUAUAAACGGAGAUAAUACUUAUCUAACAGGAUUUUGAUAAGAGUUAAAUAGACUAAUACAUGAACACGGUGCUUAGUCAAUGCUUAGUAAAUAUUACCUAAAUAUAGAUUAUUUUAAAAUAUAAAAUUAAAGCAAAUACUUAUAUUAAUAUAACCUAAUAGUCUAAAGGAAGUAAAUCUUUGCCUCCCAUCUCUAUUGAUAAUAUUUCUUUGAGGAAGAUCUCUUAAUGGGUAUGAAAGAGGUGAAUUGUGUUAUUUUGUGCUAUGAAAAUGGAUAAAUUCUUAAUAGAAACUAUAUUAAAUUCCUUGUCUGAAGUUUGUUCAUGUUCACCCCACACUAUGAUAGCUUCACUACUUUUCAUUGAAAAUCACACAGAGUGGCCGGGCGCGGUGGCUCACGCCUGUAAUCCCAGCACUUUGGGAGGCCGAGGCAGGCAGAUCGCCUGAGGUCAGGAGUUCGAGACCAGCCUGGCUAACAUGGUGAAACCCCGCAUCUACUAAAAAUACAAAAAAUUAGCCGGGUGUGGUGGCGGUACCUGUAAUUCCUGCUACUCGGGAGACUGAGGCAGGAGAAUCACUUGAACCCAGGAGGCGGAGGUUACAGUGAGCCCAGAUAGCACCACUGCACUCCAGCCUGGGCAACAAGAGCGAAAUUCCGUCUCAAAAAAAAAAAAGAAAAAAUUAUACGGAGUGUUACAGGCAAUGAAAUAAUGAUAUUCUGAGGAACUUUCUUUGUAGGGAGGUUUCAUAGCCAAUGUUCUAUAAUGUAUAUACAUGUGUUAUGCAAAUUAUACGUGGUGCACGAGGAAAGAGAAUUGUAUUGAUCUUAUGAUCUCUUUAUUGCACUUAUUUGCAAUAUUUAUGAUCUCUUUAUUGCAUUUAUUUGUUAAUAAAAUAUAGCCUAGACUUUACUGACUCAGAAACAGAUUUAAAAAAACUGAUCUGAAAUUCUGGACAGACCAUAUAGAUGGUUUCCACCACAUAUUUACAGCGUCCAAACUCACGUGGGCCUUCAACUUUACCAAGCAAUGCUUGUUUCCCUAGUUGGCUCUCUCUUAAUUUCCACAACAGCCACUUCUGAUUUUCUCCUUAUUUUUCAAACCACUCCCCUCACUUAUUCUCAAAUAAGAGAAUAGAAAAAAAUAGAAACCAUCAAAGAGGAACUCAGGCUGAGCGUGAUGGCUCAUGCCUGUAAACCCAGAACUUUGGAAGGCCGAGGCAGGCACAUCACCUGAGGUCAGGAGUUCGAGACCAGUCUGGCCAACAUGGUGAAACCCUGUUUCUACUAAAAAUACAAAAAUUAGCCGGAUGUCUUGGCGGGUGCCUGUAAUCCCAGCUACUAGGGAGGCUGAGGCAAGAUAAUUGCUUGAACCCAGGAGGCAGAGGUUGCAGUGAGCCAAGAUCGUGCCACUGCCAGCCCUGGUGACAGAGCGAGGCUCCGUCUCAGAAAAAAAAAACAGGAACUCCAACAAUUUUAUGUCUCCAUACUCAUUCUUUCAAGCUUCACGGUAGAUUAGGUGCCCCCCUGUCUGAGGCACAUAUCUCUGCCAGUUCCCUGUAUUCCAUCUCUUUGUGCUCGUUCUCUAGAUUCUCACUCCUCCUGCCUUUCCAGGAACUGCAGUCAAUGGGUUCUUUAUUCAACAAGCUUCUGGGUUCUGCAACUACCACUCCACUGAAAUUCUCAACGAGGUCACCAAGAACCUCUUGUGUUCAAUCCAGUAGACCCUUUGUCUUAUUUUCCUUGACCUCUCUGCAGCAUUUGAUACUAGAACCCUUGGCCUUCUGCAUUCAUAUGCCUUGAUUUGUGAAACCACACUUUCCUAGUUUUUCUCCUAGAUCUCUGUGUCUCUAUUUUACCUUUCAGGACCCCCUUCUGGCUGUCAAAUAUCCAUGAACCCCAAAGUUGUGUGCAAUUUGUUUCUAUCUCACUUUUUACAUUAUCCUUUAUGUGGUCUCAUUCACCUUCAUGGCUUCAGCCGCCGUAUAUACACUAGUAACUCCUAAUGCAAGUUUCUAGUCCAGUUCUCUCUUCUGACUACAAACCUAUAUGUCUUACUGCCUUCAAAAUAUCUGUCCUGGAUGUUCCAAGAUAUCUCAAAAAUCCCAAACUAAACUCUUUAUUUUACCAGCUUUUAUGUUUCUAAUCUCUAAAAGUGGGUAUCAUCAACCCGCUUUUGUAAACCAGAAAUAUGGGUAUUUACUCAGCCCGUCUCUCUCUGUCAGCCAUUAGAAAGCCCUAUCAGUUUUUCCUUCUCAACUCUAAUUUUCCAUUUCUCUCCGCUUCAUUACUAUUCUACUUAAGCCAUAAUUAUCUCCUGCCUCAACUCCUUGCAGUAGCUUUUCUGGCCGGUAAUACUGCAACUCAUCCUUUACAUCGUACCCAGAGUGACCUUUCUAAACUUUAACUAUGUCAGUCCCCUGUUUAAAGUCUUAAAAUUUUCCUUGAAGAAACUUGCAUGACACAUUCCCUCAUUUCUGGCUAAUCUGCUAUACCUUGCUCACCCUAAAUCCUAGUAAGCCCUGCUGCUCCCACUUCACUCUCCUUUUUACAUUUGCAUUCCUUACCUGGUUUUUCCUUUAAGUCUCAGCUUAACCACUAUUUUCUCUAAAAGUCUUCCUUGAUCACCAAAAACUAGGCUAGGUACCCUCUCACCUCCCAUAGUAUCUUGUGUUUUCUCCUAUGGUAGUUCUAGUAGCAGAGUUUUGUAAAUACUUGUCUCCUAUUUAAGAGAGACAAAUUUAAGUCUAAACUCCUUAAAGUCAAGAUCUCUUGUCUUGUCCACCUCUGUAGCCUCAGCACCUGGCCCAGGAUAUGGUAUUCAUUACUUUAUUUGACAAUUACUUCUUGAGUGAUAAUUGGAUACUAGGCACUAGCACAUUGGUUGAAGUGUGGAAUGGGGAAACCUCAAGAGGGAAUCUCUUGAGAUGUGCCAAGACGUCAAUGUCUUAAUUACAAUAAUAAGACGUAUUUUUUACCUUUUUUGUUCCCAUUAUUUAAUGAGCACACAGUGUCAUUUUCCAGAGAUUGUGUGAAGUGUGAUAUUGCAACAGCUUGAAUGCAAAAACAAAAUAAUCCGGCUAUCUUCUAUUAAGCUAGACAUUAAAGGGGUUUGCAAAAAUGUAAAGCAAUGGCACUCCAAACUAUUUCUUUGUUGUUGUUUUGGAAGAUACAGUUAUUUUUCAUCAAAAUAUGUUUUUUACAUUAUCAUGUAACGGUUUAGUGUUAUUUGAUGAAUUUUAAUGAAUUGGUUUUUUAAUGAAGUAGUAAUAUUUUAAAACAUUCUCAGUUUUAAUUUUUAAUACAAUAAAUAUCAAUAGAUAUAUUUCACAUAAAGAAAUACUCUUUGGGGUUCUCGAUAAUAUUUAAGAAUGUAAAGGAGUACUGAGACCAAAAGUUUGAGAACUGCUGCACUAGCACAUAUGUGAGCUCAAUGUAGAUGUGUUAAAUUAUAAUUAGUGAAUGUCAGCUUGCCAAAACUCUGGCACACAGCUGCUUAAUGUUUCUUAAUAAAGGUUCCUCCCAAAUGCCCAGACUUCGUGUCUGAACAGGUAAAAAUAUUACCCAGAUUUAACAUUUGAAUAUGCAUAAGUGAAAGUAUUCUUUAGGUCAGUGUGCUUUGUAAACUAUGGAGUGUUAUGCAAAUAUUCUUGUUUUAGUAAUUGUCUGUGAUAAAUAUGGACCAACAUUCUAGCUGGUAGUAGAACCAGGACUACCUAUAAUAACCUGAAGAUGAGAAUUUUUAUAGCCAGCCAUUUCACAUUAAUCUCAUUUAAUCCAUAUAACAAUUUUAUGGAACAGGUAUUACACCCACUUUUUAAUUGAGUAAACCAAAGUUCAAAGAAAUGAAAUGAUUUCCCUUUAGCUCUUCACAUUUUAUAAGGCUCUGAGACAAGGUUCAGAGAACUCAUACUUUUCCAAUAAAUGAGAUCUCAGGUGAAGAGAUUUGUUUCCCUAUUGUCCUGAAUCCUAUCCUUUAUUUGCUGGACAUUAGUCUGGUGAGAGGGUAAGAUGAUUGUUACAAUUUUCAGGUACUUUUUUACCUUUGAUGCAAGAAGAAGGACCAGAGAAUGGUAUUAGGUCUAUAUGAAGGUUCUAUUUGAGGGCCAACUCAGAACAUAACAGUAAAAAUGAGAUGGCACCUCUCAACAGAUCUCUCCUGUUUUCUGCGUUACCAAAAAUUAGCAGACAUGGUCAGGUUGAGUGGUGGAGGGGAAGCUUGAGACUUCAGGUGUGUAUUUUAUGAACCAGGUUAGGCAAUCCACAAUAUUUUGCUAUUAACAGUAACAUCCAAGUAUCCAAAAAGCCCUUGAGUGCUUUAUAUUCCUCCUUUGAAGGAUAUUGGAAGAGGAUUGAGAAAUUAUGUGGAAAAGAAAGAGCCAUUAACUAAAACUUUUUUCUUGUGAAAAUUAAAGUUAUGUAACUUGUUCAUGAAAGCUGAAACUAGGGCUAGGCACGGUGGCUCAUGCCUGUGAUCCCAGCACUUUGGGAGGCCAAGGUGGGUGGAUCACGAGGUUAGGAGUUCAAGACCAGCCUGGCCAACAUGGUGAAACCCUGUCUCUACUGAAAUGCAAAAAUUAGCUGGGCGUGGUGGUGCACGCCUGUAAUCCCGCUACUGGAGAGGCUGAGGCAGGAGAGUGGCUUGAACCUAGGAGGCGGAGGUUGCAGUGAGCAGAUUGUUCCACUGCACUCCAGCCUGGGUGACAGAGCAAGACUCCGUCUCAAAAAAAAAAAAAAAAAAACAAGUUGAAACUAACUUAGUUUUGUAUGAAUUAAUUUUUUUUUCAGGUCAGAUUUCAAAUAUGAAAACUCUUCAUUCAAGAUAUAGCCAGCCCCUCCGUAUCUGUGGGUUCCACACCCAUGGAUUCAACCAACCACAGAAAAUUUUUUUUAAAUUGCAUCUGUACUGAACAUGUACAGACUUCUUCUUGUCAUUAUUCCUUAAGCAAUAUAGUAUAACAGCCAUUUACAUAGCACUUACCUUGUAUUAGGUAUUAUAAGUAACCUAGAGAUGAUUUGAAGUAUAAGAGAGGAUAUGUAUAGGUUAUUUGCAAGUACUACACCAUUUCAUAUCAGGGAGUUGGGCAUCUGAGGAUUUUGUCAUCCACAGGAGGUCCUGGAACCAAUCCCCUCUGAUACUGAGAGACAACUAUUACACAAGAGAAAUAUUCUACCAUUCACAAAAUCUCGUUUAAGUGUUGUGAAAUACAAACACCAGGGAAUCAAGAACUUUAGAAAAUUGUGGCUGUGUUCCCAUAUGUGGUACAAAGAACCAGUGAGUCCCAUUUGUUGUGGUUCCUGCAUUCGAUGACUCCAGAUGUGCCACCACCGAGCUAGUCUUAUGACAACCUAGAAGGCAAAUUGGGAUGGCCCUAUAUUUGUCACUGAGAGCAGAAGGGUUGAGAACUUAGAUCCUGACAGGAGGCCCACCUUUAUUGGAGAAAUGGCUCUGCAACUUAGCUCAUGUAAGACUGCUGGGAUUUGAAAUUUAUCCUAUUAUUUGAAGACUGAAAUCAAAAUAUGAAGGUGGAGCAUCAUGUGUGCCUUCUGUCUUGUUCUCUACUAGGGUGUAAACCAUUUAACUAAAAAUAGUCUCCAAUUUGACACCUUCCCAACAUUUCACUAGUAUACUCCAAAUCUCCAUGCAGGGUUACAGACCUAUUUCAGCUGGCUCCAUUUACUCUGAGGCAGAUAAAGCUGAGAUUGCAACAUCAGAAGCAGUUCAACCAAUCAUUAUGUACAAACCUCAGCCCAUUUGUAUAAUGCAAUCCUUCUGGUAGUAAUGACACAAAACAUGCCUAUAGGGACGAUCACAACCCUGUCAAAGUCCCAAGUCAUCUGUGGCACCAGGGCCACAGAACUUCUUACCACUUGGAAGCAAAAUAGUUGCUUUAAUGGUAACCAAAUGCCCUCCUUCAAGACAGUAUUUCAAGAAGGAGGAGUAUACGUAUAUUAUACAAACAUAUCCAAUCCCUUUAGAAGAUAAUUAUCAAUAUCAUGCAGGGAAGCUGGAACACACACACAAAAUCGAGUACUAUCUAGAAGAUCAAGCCACAAAUCUCAAGAGAAGCAGUAAGUGUCCAGGGCCUGGGAUUUUUUAUCUUGGCCGUGAGAAUAGCACAGCCCAUGGUGCAGAAACGACAGGCUAGUUGUCCAGCAUAACAUGGUGUUUUAUUUCACCAUAGUAGACUGCUGGGAAAUCUCUGGAGGCCUUGGCAGCUGUGUCUUGUCUUUAAUAUGAAGCCUGGGGGGGAAGACAGAGAGAGAGACUCAUAAUUCACAAGAGGCCCAGCCGUAAGAAAGCCAUUCUAAAUAACUGAAUCAGGCACCGAGGAGGAGCGACUAUUCCAUUCCUAAGUCAAGAAUGCUUUUUGUCUUUCCUUCUCUCCUAAUUGGCUCAUGAAAAGAUCAUUUAUGUGUGGUAGAAUCAGUACAUCAGAGGCAGCUUCUGUUUCUCUCCAUUUCUCCUCCCCACUGCUGCUGUCCUGUAAAAAGACCCUUUGUUACAGACUGAAACAGCAGAUGCAGCUCAGAUAUUAUCUUGAAUAAUUUUGUGGGGAGCAUUUUAUCUUGAAUUGGUGUAAUGCCAUUUUCACGUGGAAAGUGGUUCUAUGUCUGAUCCAAAUGUUCUAGAAACUUGAGAGACCCAUAUGGCAAAGAAGUACUUUACACACAUAUCUCUUUAAAGUAGUGCAGGGUAUGGGAAGAACUGAUAAUGCUGAUUAAAUGAUAUGUAGACGAAAUGAAUGUAAACUGGCAUCAUGGGCUGAGUGAGUCAGGGGAGGCCUUGUGGAAGAGAUAAGAGUAAUAGAAAAUGCUAGGUCAAGUAUGUGUAGAGGCCUGGAGAGAGGAAUGGACUUAGUGGGUCCAAAAGUAAGAAGACUUGUUUGUUGUGAAUACAGAGUUAGAAGUAGGUAGAAGAAAAAGUUGGUCGGGUCCUGCAGAGAUUAAAAAUCCGGUUUAAGAUUUUAGAUUGUUUCAAUCAUCAAUUAGUUGGUGUCUGUGUUCAUUGUGGAAAUGCUUUAAAUAUAGAUAACAAAAAGGAUAAUAACUUACAAUCCUACCAGUCGUAGGAUGAUGAUGGCAGACAAUGUGGUGCACAUUCUUUCAUAUAUUUUAUUGUCCUAGUUUAAGGUUCCCUAUAGGCAGAUCCUGAGAUGAAGAUUUAAAUGCACACCACUUAUUGAGGAGGUGAUUUCAGGAAACACCGGCAGGAGAGUGGGGCAGUAUGACAGGGAAAGAAAGGAAGCAAAAAAAUAAAGGGCAUGUUCUCAAAGGAAUCAGUUGGAGAGCAGUCAUGCUGGAGACACUGGAAGAGAGUAUAGAAGAUGUCUCAAUGUAGUCCUGCCUAGGGAUCAGGAAGUCGAAGUAUUUAUCCACUAAUUCUUGUCAAUUGAGAAUUUAUUUGAGGGGCAUUAACUCUCCAAAACGGUCUCCCUGUGCCGGAAAAAUAACCCUAAGCAGAAUGUUGUAGGUAUUUGCAGCAAAUAGCCCUCAGUGUGUCCUGAGGAUUGGUGUAGUACAUAAAUAUACAAAAUUAUUUUUAUUUAUAAAAAAGCUUUCUAUGCAUCAGGCUCUGUACUGUGUGUUUUACUUGCAUUCACUCAAAAUAGUUCUCACAGAAGCCCUAUGAGGUCGGCGCUACUCUUAUCCCCUGAGGAUUAGAGGCUGGGAGAAGUAUAUAUGAGAGUCAUAUGGAGAUUAAAUACCUGAAGUCAUGAGGAGAUGAUGCACUCUCCAAGAGAGCUUUGAUGACAGCCUAUUUAUGCAGCUUCUGUCAUCUGUACACAUUCUCCUCUUUCUGUCAACAAAGAGUUUUUCUUUUGCAAUUGUAAAUGUCCUCUGUUUUCAGAGACUUUUGUUGGAAAACAAAACAAAAUCUUGAGACAUGAAGGAUCUGUAAUGGACACCUGUCGAUUGUGUCUGUUCAGCAGCUCCUCUCCCACCUGUCUUCCAGUACAACACCUUAUUUCAUUGGAGAGAAAGGUUCUACCUCUUCUCCUUAAGGUUUUAGUGGACAGCCAAACCAGUCUUCAGUCUACAGGGUCGAUUCCAACUCUUUGAGGCAUGAAGGACCAGGAAGGAGGCAUCUGCCUUUAGGAAAUGCUGAACUGCAAUAGCAACAUGAAGCAUGGUUUCCUAUUGACUGCUGCCUUUGACCUGCAGCCAUUGAUGGCAUUCAUCAAUCAAAGUCUAACCAAUUGGGACUAUCAGACUUUUCCCUCCUACUCACACAACUCAAGGACAUGGAGAACUCUGGUUUUAGGGGGUGUAAGCUGAUGGUUCCAUGAGUUCUAACCUGUGGCUUAGCCAGUCUUUGGCUUGUAUAAGCCUCUAAAGGUUCAGCAGAUCUAAAAUCUUAGCGUGAUUGUAUUAACCUGAAAGCUAUAAGACACCCUUGAAAUAAUAGUUGCCCUUAAUUAAGCACUAUGUAUCUGGACUUUGUGUGUGCUGCCACAAUGCAAUCCUCACAGAAUCCUGCAAAGUAGGUAUUAUUGCCCUUUUAUGAAUGAAGACCUUGAAAUUCAGAGAGGUUAGCAGCCAUCAGCCCCUCAAACCCAGGCCUGUAAGACUGAAGGCUUUACUCUCAGGAUAUGCAACGAGGCUAUACAUUUAAUCCUAAACUCCCAAGCACAACUUUUAGAAGGGCUCUCUAGCCCUUUGUUAUUUAAGUCAGUGAUUCUUAAACAGGAUAUGGAAACCCCCAUUGGGUGGAUUUGUGUAUCAACUCAGCUAAACUAAAACUAUGGCACCCAAAAUUCCCUUCUCUGCCUUAGCCUCCUAAAGUGCUGAGAUUAUAGGUGUGAGCCACCAUACCUAGCUUUGUGUGAGAUUUAGAAAGCAAAAGUAAAGCAGUGAAGUAGCAGACAUACAUUUUUUACACCUGAAAGGUUGGUGCAGGUCACAGGUGCUGUUGCAUCUCAUUCAUGUUGUUCCUUACCUGUUGACUUGCAUUGUGGUGUGGAACAGUAGCCACGCCUGCAACUUCUCCAGCCUCUCUGACUUCCAGACCCAACAUGUCCUCCAUGACGAAGGACACCAGCUUCUCCUAGAGAGUACCUGACCAUUGAAGUUGGCAGCUUGAAAGCAGUAGGAUAUGAAUGCAGAUUCCAGUCCGUCCUCGUGGGUUCCAGUUUGCCUGUUUCCCCAACUUCACAGACAUCUCUCUUUCCCAAAUGCCUUCUCUGAGGAUUUCAGGCUUCAGCACCAAACACAGAUGCGAUGGCCUCACACAGAGUAAGUAACAAGCUCCCCCAAAUGAAUAAGAUCAAAUCCCUAUAAUAAAUGCCCUACUAUAUCAAUCUAUCUACCUGUCUGUCUAUCUAUCUGUCUAUCUAUCUACCUACCUACCUACCUACCUACCUACCUACCUACCUACCUACCUAUCUAUCUCCUAGUAUUCUACUUCUCUAAUUGAACCUUGACUGAUCUCCUACACCUUUGGUAAGUGAAGACUUUAAGACUACAGAUAAUUUUAAGGAGACCAUUUCCUAGAUCUUCCAUCUCCUGUCUACUGUUUCCUAACACUGAUCUAUAAGCCCAUGUUUGCCCUCACUGUACCAGUUUGGUUCUCCAGGAAGAAGAUGCUGACAGAGAGAGAGAGAGAGAGAGAGAGAGAGAGAGAGAGAGAGAGAGAGUUAGGAAUACCAGUGUUUUAUUGGGGAGUGACAUCUGGGAAAUGAGGGGGAGAGCAGGGUUAGGCAGCUGGAGUUGUCUGACUGUAACGCAGACCCCACAAAGUUGGCCAGCUCAGUGGGGAAGCUCCAGAGCCAAGAUUGCAUCUUAGAAGUUCUCCUGUUGGGUGGAAAUGGCCAAGCCCAUGUACAUCAGCUGUUUUUCAGUUAUUGCCUGAGGCUGCCCCAAGAAGAGCAUGACCUUGGCUGGAAAGCUGAGGCAGAUCCUGAGGAACGUAACAGCUGGAGGGUGUCUGCUAGCCACACUCCUCCCAGCUAAGGAGACAGCCUUUCUUGCAGGGGGAUCUGAGCAGCACAUUUCCACAUCUGCCACCUCUCUCAUCCCAAAUCUUAUGAAGGAAUAUUGCCCCAGGCUAUGAAAACUUCCCCUGUGAAUGAAACAAGUGGGUAUAUUGAAAUGUUGAUUUGGGGGCCUCAUCAAUCCAUAAGUGUCAUGAAAGAGGGAUUCUUCUAGACCAGUAUUUCUCAACCUCUCUUCAUUAUUGCACCCCAU
This 12003-nucleotide long non-coding RNA is filed under the name Homo sapiens (human). RNAcentral describes it as "non-protein coding SEPT7-AS1:12". Lineage: Eukaryota; Metazoa; Chordata; Mammalia; Primates; Hominidae. The record is from RNAcentral.